RNAcentral lists this ribosomal RNA (497 nucleotides) under uncultured bacterium. Its description in RNAcentral is "partial 16S ribosomal RNA". It matches the Rfam family "Bacterial small subunit ribosomal RNA", at positions 28 to 507 of the family's 1533-position model. The record is from RNAcentral.
GAUGAACGCUGGCGGCGUGCCUAAUACAUGCAAGUCGAGCGAACAGACGAGGAGCUUGCUCCUCUGACGUUAGCGGCGGACGGGUGAGUAACACGUGGAUAACCUACCUAUAAGACUGGGAUAACUUCGGGAAACCGGAGCUAAUACCGGAUAAUAUAUUGAACCGCAUGGUUCAAUAGUGAAAGACGGCUUUGCUGUCACUUAUAGAUGGAUCCGCGUCGCAUUAGCUAGUUGGUAAGGUAACGGCUUACCAAGGCAACGAUGCGUAGCCGACCUGAGAGGGUGAUCGGCCACACUGGAACUGAGACACGGUCCAGACUCCUACGGGAGGCAGCAGUAGGGAAUCUUCCGCAAUGGGCGAAAGCCUGACGGAGCAACGCCGCGUGAGUGAUGAAGGUCUUCGGAUCGUAAAACUCUGUUAUUAGGGAAGAACAAAUGUGUAAGUAACUAUGCACGUCUUGACGGUACCUAAUCAGAAAGCCACGGCUAACUACGUG